GGUGCAGGCCCGUGUGGCUCUAACCGCAGCCGUCGGACGGCUCUCUCCCCGGAGUCGGGUUGCUUGGGAGUGCAGCCCUAAGCGGGUGGUAAACUCCACCUAAGGCUAAAUACUUCCACGAGACCGAUAGCAAACAAGUACCGUGAGGGAAAGUUGCAAAGAACUUUGAAGAGAGAGUUCAAGAGUACGUGAAACCGCUCGGAGGCAAACGGGUGGGCCCUCGAAGGUCGAACGGGGGGAUUCAACCCGUCGGUAGCUAAGGUCGCGCGCCGAGGAUGUUCGUCGACGGAUCCGUUGGACCGGUCUUCGGCACGUCCGCAGCGACCACCGGCGGGCGCACUUCCCCCUCAGUAGGACGCCGCGACCGGUCGGGAGAAUCGAAAGGCGGCCAUGCGGCGAGGCAUCGGCAGGUAUCCGUUGCCGGUAAGCCACCCCGUAUCCCUCGUGGUGCGGGGACCACGGCUCCGGUCGGAAAUAUAGCCAGCCUCGUUUACUGGAUCCGCUGCCCGACCGAGGAGAAUUGAUCACAGACGCGCCCGCGCGAAUAUCGGCGCGCGGCAUUGUCCGCCCGGCAGGCCGUGUCCGGGGCCGCCGAACGCCCGCAGCUUGGCGGUCGGUGGCCAUUAGGCUCGCCGUUGGUUGGGCGUGCUGCUCCCGUGGAGGCGCUCGUGGUCUGCGGCGAGUAGGUCGGCUGCCCACCCGACCCGUCUUGAAACACGGACCAAGGAGUCUAACAUGUGUGCGAGUCGUAGGGUCGUGCGUGCACGAAACCCGAAGGCUCAAUGAAAGUGAAGGUCGGCAAUGAUGGUCGACCGAGGCGGGAUCCGCCCAGGCGAUUACGGUUCGUCCGAGCCUGGCGGCGCACCGCUGGCCCGUCUCGACCGCUUAUGCCGGUGAGGCGGAGCUAGAGCAUACACGUUGGGACCCGAAAGAUGGUGAACUAUGCUUGGGCAGGACGAAGCCAGAGGAAACUCUGGUGGAGGUCCGUAGCGAU
This 994-nucleotide ribosomal RNA is filed under the name Mimops orientalis. RNAcentral's name for it is "partial large subunit ribosomal RNA". It matches the Rfam family "Eukaryotic large subunit ribosomal RNA", at positions 211 to 884 of the family's 3401-position model. The record is from RNAcentral. Lineage: Eukaryota; Metazoa; Arthropoda; Chilopoda; Scolopendromorpha; Mimopidae.